CUCACAUCCUUUCAUAGUUUCUGUUCCCACAUGGAUUCUGCUUUCCUCUCGACAGCUUCAGCCCCCAUGGACUCUGAUCCCUGCAGGACUCUGCUUCCUCGCUGAGCCCAGCUUGCCUCCAACCUGCCAUAGCCCCACUUGGACUCUUGUCUUCCCCCAUCCCUGGAUAACUGCCGGUCCUCUCUGUCCCAGCUUCCAGAUUCCCCAUGCCUGCCUUCCUUGGCUCCUUAGUUCUGUUUCCCCUGGGUUCCCCCAGCAGAGGAGAACAGGGACACCAUCCAUGGAGCCACCCAUUUCCUGGUUGUAUUCCCCGCUGAGGGUUCCUGUGGGUUCCUGUUCAAAAGACUACUUGGUCACACACAUAUACCGUAAGAGUCGCGUGGCGACCAGACGCCUGCUUCUAAAGGAAGUAAGAUCAGCGUGUCCUCUGUUACAAUAAAUACUGGGAGGCUUGUGUUCCUCAACAUCCCCUGCUAUUCUUUUUCAGAACCAAAAACAGUAGAAAGGGAAGUAAGACACAAUACUUUUCCUGUGACACCAAAGACCCUGAGCAUUGUGAUCAUCUAGUCUGAUACUGAGGAUGCAUUCAUGUUUUUCUUUUUUCUCCUUCCUCACCAGCACUUGUCUUUUGCCAGGAUGUGACAUGGGGAAGAGAAAGUAAAGGAGUAAAGUGAAGGAGAUGUAAGUGAAUAAAAGUUAGACAGGUGCUUGUUUAUGUAUUUAGAAAAGUCCAUUCAUAAAGAUGUUUGGAACAUUAAAAAACAAAAAAUAAUACAUAGUUAAUUUAAGAUAAGUUGAAGAAAACAUCUUUGUCUGAUACAGGGAUGUGUGCUCUGAAGAAUAGUCUGACUUCUUAACCUGAAAGUCUGACAGUUCAGUUUUCAAGAUUGCCACAGAAGGAUUGUUAAAAAUAUGAACUCUCCAGAUCCAGGAAACAUUCUAACAGUUUUUGAAUAAUAAGUCAGACAAAAGGAACCUUUCAACUGUGUGAGGGGGGGAAAAAA
Amphiprion ocellaris (clown anemonefish) is the source of this 1004-nucleotide long non-coding RNA. The record is from Ensembl. Lineage: Eukaryota; Metazoa; Chordata; Actinopteri; Pomacentridae.